CAUCCUCCAAGGCUAAAUACUCCUGACUGACCGAUAGUGAACCAGUACCGUGAGGGAAAGGCGAAAAGAACCCCGGCGAGGGGAGUGAAAAAGAACCUGAAACCGUGUACGUACAAGCAGUGGGAGCCCCACCACCAAAGCGUUUCGCUUUGUGUGGUGCACAAAGAAGCGUAACGACAGCACUGAAUGACGGUUAACGGAGCGCAAGCGACGUUCAACAUACAAAGUCAAGCAGUGGAGCGCUUUGGGGUGGGGUGACUGCGUACCUUUUGUAUAAUGGGUCAGCGACUUAUAUUCUGUAGCAAGGUUAACCGAAUAGGGGAGCCGGAGGGAAACCGAGUCUUAAUUGGGCGUUAAGUUGCAGGGUAUAGACCCGAAACC
This 381-nucleotide ribosomal RNA is filed under the name Salmonella enterica subsp. enterica serovar Weltevreden. RNAcentral describes it as "partial 23S ribosomal RNA". It matches the Rfam family "Bacterial large subunit ribosomal RNA", at positions 454 to 722 of the family's 2925-position model. The record is from RNAcentral. Lineage: Bacteria; Pseudomonadati; Pseudomonadota; Gammaproteobacteria; Enterobacterales; Enterobacteriaceae.